RNAcentral lists this long non-coding RNA (5729 nucleotides) under Sus scrofa (pig). RNAcentral describes it as "lncRNA (ENSSSCG00000061242.1)". Lineage: Eukaryota; Metazoa; Chordata; Mammalia; Artiodactyla; Suidae. The record is from RNAcentral.
GAUGUGUCUUUAACGGGUAUCCGAGGCAUGUCUCCCCCUCCCCAUUGUAUUUAGGGGGCAGAUAACAAGUUUUCUGAUUUCACAGGUCCACAGAUGGAGAGGGAUUUCCCCUCCCCAGGAUGGAUUACACCCAGUGUCUCACCCACAGUUAAUUUCGAUGACUUAGACUGUGAGAUUUAGAAAUUCUGAACUGAUGAAAUUUAGAUGAGAUUCAUGACUUUGAGCUAGUGCUACACAAUAGAUCGGAACUUUGGGUGAUACUGAGAUAGGGUAAAUAUAUUUUGCAUUUGUGAAAGUUGUGACUCUUUGGGAGUAUUUAUCAUAUCUCCAAGUGCACAAUUAAUUCAGGAGGGGCAGGUAUCAGUCCAUGAACUUUCCAAGGGAGCCAUGAGUAGGCUCAGGAAGUCUGCAACGCCACCUCCCAUCUCCUGACAAAAAGCAGUGUGCAAGUCGGGCUAUAGGGAUAUGUGCAGUUUCUAAAUCCUCAGUGAGGUCUAUGACCCAGAAAAGACUAAGAAUCAUUUCCUUAAGGCUUUCAAAUGCGCUGAAGAAUGAAACAUAAACGAUAUUAAUUUGCUUCCCAUGGCCAAGUUCCUGGCUUACAAGGAUGGUCAGACUCUAGGACAGCCUUGAUGUCUGUACAAGAGCUCUCCCAAUCCCUGAGCCCCACAGCAGAGCUUCCUUUAUCGUAUCUCCAAGUGCACAAUUAACUCCCCAGGCAGCAGACCCUAAUGAAGCAAACCGAUUAUGGGUCCAUUAGAGCCUUGCCGAGGGCCAUUCAUCGUCCCCGCAGCCAGCCAGCAUCCCAGAGAGUGCGUGAUGUUUUCCCGAGGAGGGGACUGAGCCUGGAGACAUUCAUUUGUUCCCUUCAGAGCCCUCCAGCUCCCCGUGGUCUCACCUUCCCAGGCUGGGGUGGGGCCGGGGAGACUACAUGUGUCCCUGUAGGAUGUCACAGCAGAGGAAGGGAAAGAGGCAUGGGGCUGGGCCUCCCAUCAGCUCUGUUCACCACCAGAGGGGACCAUUUGUUUCCGGAGGUCCAUGGAAUUUCCUUAGUUUCCAUUAAAUCCCCAAGGUAUUGAGAGUGCAAGAAAUACACCGGGCUCUGAAAGGAAUCCAAAAUGUGGACCUAUCUAUUCAGUCUGAAGAACCAAAUUGUGUUCUCUUGCUAUUAAGAGAUAUGGACAGUGGAGACGGGUAAAUGGCUUGCCGGGAUGGGCUCAGAUGCCCUGGAGGCCGUGAGAGUGAAAAGGCUCCUCCUUGACCUCAUUACCCUUAACAAGCUGGCCAGAAUCCCUGCUAAAAUGUCAGGACACACGCCCCAAGAUAACUCCCAGGAAAUAGCCUGUGUAUUAGAAAACUGUCCACACUCCCCGGACUGACUUCUCUAGAGACAGAGGCGGUUCAGAACCAGGGGUACAGACAGUGACCCUGGCCAACAGCAGUGUCCCCUGAUGAAAAUUAAUCUCUGAGCACUCCCCUCUGCUGGGAUGGUGGUGGAAUUAGGCUAAACUUUCUGGAAGGCACAAAGGAAACACCCAUCCAAAGGGAUGCGCCUACCCUCUGUACUAAUUAUCUUUCGCGGCAUAAUGGAUCAUGCCCAAACUUAACGGCUUAAAACACACACACUUCAGCUCACAGCUGCUGUGGGUCAAGAGUCUAGCCUUGGCUGAGAUGUAUGCGUCUGUCUCAAGGCCCCUCAUAAGGCUGCAAUGGAGGUGUCAGCCAAGGCCACCGUCUCAUCUGAAGGCUCAACUGGGAGAGAAUUGUCUUCUAAGAAGCCUGGUGGUCUCACACCUGCUCCUUCGCCCUCAGCAGGUGUUGUCGCCCCGCCUGCCAAUGAGAAACCUGAGCUCCAGGAAAAGCAAUGAGGCCGCCCAGCCACUGAGGGAGGCGCGGGGCUGGGACUCUACCUCAUCCGUAUAUCCACGAAGCCUCUUGAUGUUUGUUCCAGAGGGAGAGGAGUGAAGGAGAAACAUGUCACCUUGAGUUAGAAAGCUGCAGGUCUGGUCUGUUAAUGACACAUAAUGACUCAAAAGCAAGCCCUGGGGUGGGGGGAGUUCCCAACGUGGCUCAGCAGGAACGAAUCUGACUAGCAUCCAUGAGGACGCAGGUUCGAUCCCUGGCCUCGCUCAGUGGGUUAAGGAUCCAGCAUUUCUGUGAGCUGUGGUGCAGGUCACAGAUGCUGUUCAGAUCUGUUGUUGUUGUGGCUGUGGCGUAGGCCAACAGCUACAGCUCUGAGUCGACCCCUAGCCUGGAAACCUCAGGUGCAGCUCUAAAAAGACAAAAAAAGCAAGCCUGGGGGACAAAAAAUCCUCACUGUGUUUCCAGGGACUGGGAGAAUCAAGAAACAAGUCUGACCAGUAAGGCACAGACCCCAGGAGGCGCUGUGGGGGCUCAGGCCUAUGGACCUGGAUUCUUAGAGACAGAAGACUGAAAGUCUCCUCCACCAGGUGUGACUCUCGGGAUCCAGAGCAUCCUGGGUAUGCCCUGGGCCACUUGCCUGGCUACUCCAGCCUUACCCCUGUCCUGGGAACUGUUUUCAGACCUCUGGGCCCACAGCCCCAGGUGAGGGGCCCACGGCCUGGCUGAAGCAGAGGCCCCAUCCCUCCCACCGGCAGCCUGCAAGCAGGUGGGUGCUGCAGGGCCUCUGCUCAGAAAGUUCCAGGACAAUGGAAAGCACCUGACAUUCAGCAAGACAGAGGAGGGUCAGCCACCCCCCGGUCCCAACCUUAGAGGUCAUUACCUCCACGUGGGACCUCCAUCCUGGCUUCCCAGCAUGCACUGGGCUCAGGAAAGCAGCCCAGCUUCGCGGGCAGGGGAAGGAGGUGGGAGGGAAGGAGAAAGAAGCAGAUGUAGGUACAGGCAGAGCCAGGCGUUUGGCUCACUUUAUCCCACAACCCUGGGAAGCAGGCAUUAAGGUUCUCUCCAUUUUCCAGAAGAGCAGACCCUGAAUCUAAGAGACAGGAAGAUGCUUGCUGGUGGUCACAUGGCCAGUGGGAACUGGGUUUAGACCCCCUCAAACGCAUCACCUGCAGCUCAGUCCAAGAGAGCAGCCACAUUCGCUCCGAGAUGAUCUUCCAGGAAACUGAGCCCACCCUGACCCUGAAAUAAGCUUCCCUGCCCUCACCUGCUGGUCCAAGGGCCCCACAAGCCCUGCUUUUCCACUCCUGUUUCCUGUCCAGGAGCCCACCAGGCCCACCAGGCUCACCAGGCCAGGCUAACUGUCCCCAAGGAGAUUCACCACAGCCACCCGUCCAAAGACUCACCCAGGCGCAGAGAAAAGCCUUGGCAGUCGCUUCAAGCAACGCAUGGAUGAGCCCAUUUCACAGCUGAGAAAAUGAAGCUAGAGCCAGGGUUCCGCUGUGCUGCUCCUGCAGCAUCCCGGACCCUCAGCCGCCCCGUCACCAGGGCUUCCCUCCAACCCCCGUAAGCUCUCCCACCUCAAGAUUUUGAAAGGCAAGCAGUUCACUUUUUAGGAGACAGUUGGCUACCAACUGCAAUAAUUUUGCAUCUCUGUGGAUUUAGUUUGAGCAGCUCAAGAGGCAUGCCAACAGCACAGACCUGACAAAGAACAAAAGGCCCCUUUAUAGACUCUCAUGACACCCCCAUCAGAAAAUGCCAAAAUACCACCAAAGGCCCCGGGGUCGCUCCAAGCCAGCACUUGGGCCCAGAGCUUAAGGUGACAAUCUGCAGGGAAAAAGUCCAACUGGCUUCACUGCAGGAAGCAGAGAUGUGCAAAGCUGCCUGGUUCCUGCCUUGUCCCGCCUUCUCACUUCACUGGUGGGGCAGCUGAGCCCUGGAGCAUCCAACGUCACACAGCUAGUUAGGAUGCGGUUAGGAUGCGGGGUCCCCAUCCUCUGACGAAGGUGACCAGGACUCGGUGCUGGGAGGGUCCGACUCCCCGGGCCCCGGGCCCUGCUCAACCAGUAACGGCUCUGCACUCAGGGCAGCUUCUCCCUCUCUCUGCCUCCUCUCUCCCCACCCCAGAAAAUUGUGCAGGUUAAACUGGAUGUUGCUAUAGCCUGUAGCCUCGGCAUGCCACGAUUCUCCUCCAUUCGCAAAGGUUGUUGGCUCUGAACUAGAUCGGGGUUAAUCAAUUAUCGACAAUGCUCGACCCUCCAGACUCUGUCUCCCUCGUCCGCCUCCCACCUGCCUGUCAUCAUCUGAAGUUACCACUUGCUGAAUUACCAAGGAGAAGGCCAGCAGGUCAAGAGAGAGGAAAUGGCAAAAGCCAAUCUUGAGUAUUUGCGCUCUGAAUAAAAUUUCAUCCCCUUCCCACUGGCAGAUUUUGUCAUUUUUAAUUUAAGCCCAGUGCACCCAGGCACGUAGACAGGAGCACGUCUGCCCCCAGCUAGAGAAUACCAGGGGCCCUGGCACUGGGAGCUCCCAGGAGGGUGGAGUGCCCUCCAGAGGCCAUGAGGGAGGGCACAGCGCAAGGCUGGCUCCUGCCCACCCUCUGUGAUGCCUGAGCACCCAUCAUCGGAGGGAGUUUGGGGAAAUUGUAUUUAAUAAUAGCAACAACAGUAGCAGCGCUCAUUUCUUGAGCACUGCAUGUGCCUGAUACAUACCGUCUUGCUUAGUAUCCUGCAAGGUGGACACUCUGGUUAUGUCCAUUGUACAGAUGAACAAACUGAGGCCCAGCAAGGAUUAGUAACAUGCCAAGACCACACAGCCCGUUGAGAGCAGAGUGGGCUGUAAACCUGCUCUGUCUGAUUCUGAUGCAUGUGCCCCUGAGCCAAGGUCCCCGGCCUUUCAGGAGAGGAGCACGAUUAAGAGUCUCCGGCCUGUAAAUACAUUCUUCUUUUCACAUUCUCCCCCAUCAACUGUAAGUAACGAACUUUUUAAAAAUAGACAAUGUGUGGAGUUCCCAUUGUGGCUCAGUGGUUAACAAACCCAACUAGCAUCCAGGAGGACGUGGGUUCCAUCCCUGACCUCGCUCAGUGGGUUGAGGAUCCAGCAUUGCUGUGAGCUAUGGGGUAGAUCGCAGACACAGCUCAGAUCCCGCCUUGCUAGGGCUGGGGCUCAGACUGGCGGCUACAGCUCCAAUUGGACCCCUAGCCUCUGAACCUCCAUAUGCAGCAGGUGCGGCCCUAAAAAGAUAGAUGGAUAGAUAGAUAGAUAGAUAGAUAGAUAGAUAGAUAGAUAGAUAAACGAUGUGAUAUAUAAAAAAUAAAAUCAAUAAUGUGAGGAGUUCCCAUCAUGGCUCAGUGGUUAAUGAAUCUGACUAGGAACCAUGAGGUUGCAGGUUCAAUCCCUGGCCUCGCUCAGUGGGUUAAGGAUCCGGCAUUGCUGUGAGCUGUGGUGUAGGUCACAGACAUGGCUCAGAUCCUGCAUUGCUGUGGCUGUGGCUGUGGCUGGCGGCUACAGCUUCGAUUAGACCCCUAGCCUGGGAAUCUCCACAUGCCAUGGGAGCGGCCCAAGAAAUGGCAAAAAGACUAAAUAAAUAAAUAAAUAAAGUGGUAUUUGAAAAAAAAGAAAAUCUCUGGGUUCUGGGCCCCUGUGAAAAACCAACCCAUGUGUUCCUUCGGCAAGCAGGACAGCUGGCUCAUGGACCAGGUAUGAAGGGAUACCAAGCAAAAGCUUCAGUUGAUGGUGACACAGUUCUGGAAGCAGAGGUCCAGGAUUUCAGAAAUGUCCACUGGAUGGUGAAGCCAUGGUGACACAUGGCGUCCAGCACUUGCUGUGAAAUCUUUCAGGAGACAAAGAAAUUAAAUAGGGCAAAAAUCUUA